GACAGAGGGUGCGAACGUUGCUCGGAAUCACUGGGCGUAAAGCGCGUGUAGGCGGGUCGGUAAGUCAGGUGUGAAAUCCCUGGGCUCAACCCAGGAACUGCAUUUGAAACUGCCGGUCUUGAGUGGUGGAGAGGAAAGUGGAAUUCCUGGUGGAGAGGUGAAAUUCGUAGAUAUCAGGAGGAACACCUGUAGCGAAGGCGGCUUUCUGGACACUAACUGACGCUGAGACGCGAAAGCGUGGGGAGCAAACAGG
Molecule: ribosomal RNA, 253 nt
Filed under: uncultured bacterium
Lineage: Bacteria
Description: partial 16S ribosomal RNA
Rfam family: Bacterial small subunit ribosomal RNA
Source: RNAcentral